This 479-nucleotide unclassified non-coding RNA is filed under the name Scleria welwitschii. RNAcentral describes it as "partial external transcribed spacer 1". Lineage: Eukaryota; Viridiplantae; Streptophyta; Magnoliopsida; Poales; Cyperaceae. The record is from RNAcentral.
CUUGGGCGGUGUGAUGAAUGGGUUGGUGCCUGUGUUGCUACUCUUUUAGGGACGAUGUUUGUUUUGUGACAACGGCAUGUCAUGUUGCCUUCGAUUUUGAUUUUGAGAAAGUUGCGUGGGCUAUUGAAACAUUGGCUUUGUUCGGGAGCGAUCGAUGGGUCUCGACUCGUCCGCAGCUCCCUUCAUAUUAUAUGAGCAGCUCUUUCGGAUACGGUGGCUAUGUGGGUUCUUGCGUUCCUCUUCGGUCCGCAUGCGACCUCGUAGUUCACCCGUAACAGUUCAUCGUGCGGUUGGAUCUUGUGCCAUCUUUGCGUUCCCGUUUUUGCUCUCAUGCCGGAGCAAAGGCGGGGCGUGGGGAUGCAGAUGCUGGCUUACGGGGGCGGUGCUGUACGUGUGGGAGUUCUAUGUUAUAUUAGUGAUCGCCGUUGCGUGCGUGCGUAUAGGUAUUCCGUCCGGGAGUGCCUCAGCAGCUCGCAGGC